UAACUUCAAGACAUUCUAAGUAUAAAACUCUAUCGAUCAGCUGUAGCGUUUCUUUAUUCUUUUUUUUGGCCAUCUCCUCGCCCUUCUUUUCGUCAAUCGUCUCGGAUCUCCUUCAUAUUGAUCGCGGGUCUCAGCUUUCAUCGCAAAUCCUAAAAACUUGGGUUCGUCAUCAGCAAGGUCAUUAGGUCAUCUCCAAAAUUAUAAAAGUGCUAUUGGAUAAUUGGAACUCUUCUCGAUGUACAUGAGUGGCAGGAGGACAAUGUCAAAAAGCUGAGCCAAAAACAGUCUGAAUUGAAGGUUUAACAAUGUUGAUAGUCAAUCUGCGUGAUGUCCAACCUCUUCAAAAUAUCAAAAUAAGAGUUCGCGUGUGCAGAUUUUGGAGAGGAAGAACAAUGAAACCUGUGGUGCAAGAUGAUGGCCUGCAAUGUGUACUGGUGGAUCAGCAGCUUCAGAAUGGAGGUGUAUCUCGGGGUUGCAAGCGAUUCAACAUCAGCCAUGCUGAUAGGAAAACCAGCAGAUGUUCUGUUAGGAGUCAGUUUUGAAAAGUUAGUGAUUGAAGAAGGGCACACAGAGCAGAGCAGUCCUCCAGAACAAAUUUCAAGAUCAAGGGGUCUAUCCAGACAUCCAACCAUCACUGCAAAAGAUGCUAGCAAGCGCGACCACCACAACGUCAGCCACCUUCAAAAAGAGCUUUGCAACCACCUAAAGACUCAAACUCAGAAGAAACUCUUCCAAUCAGAACCCCGCAAAAAAAAACAGAAAAAGGUCUAAAGACUCAAACUCAGAAGAAACUCUUCAAAUCAGAACCCCGCAAAAAAACAGAAAAAGGUAAGUAAUGUACUAAAAACACAUGUUCCUGUCUAAACAUACAACCUUCCAUACUAACCAACAUUUCAUCCACUCUUCAAUGCUUUAAAACACAAGCACACGAGGAAGACAACAGCACGCCAAAAUCACCACAGGUAAAUGCCAAGCAAGAUUAAAAACUACAACUCCUUUUUUUGGAGAUUGUCAACAGAAGAUCGGUGAAGCCAGUCAUCUACUUUUUGCUGACUACAUGACCGUCCUUUGAACUGCAAUGACAUAAACCAUUUUUUAAACGGCUAAUGGUUUUUACACUUUUGAACAAUAUCAGUUGGCAGCCAAUGAAGCCAUGAACAUCUUCCUUGCUCACUAAACACUGAUGCCGUACUACUCUGAUUUCCCUUAUAUCCCAUAAGUCCUAUCUGAGCAGGAUAGAUUCUGUUCUCUCUCUUCUUAGAGCUCUGUCCGUCCUUUGCUUCCUUGUACAAGUGCCAAUCAUCAAUCAAACCUUGAAGCUGUUGUGGCCAAAAUUCUACCGUGGACAUUGACCAGUUUUUUGCACUUGCCUCCGACUAUUUCAUUUGUUUUCACAGAAGUCUCACGCCCAUCCCCAACAGCAUAUAUGCAACCAUUUCGUUUCGUGGAAAUUGUCGUGGUACCUGUCGAGGCUUUCCUUCUGGAACUGCAUAUAAUAAAUUCAAUAGGGAAAUCAGAACAUAAGAAUAUUUGGAAAACAGACAAAGAAAAUCCAUGUAGAUUGAAAGGAAGGGAUUGAAAUCCUGGAUCUGAAGCUUACCCUUUGCAAAAGAAGGCACCACCUAGAUACUGGUCCAGCUUCUUCACUUCUUCAACUGCAGCAGAGUAAUACAACAAGUCCUUACUAAUCCAUCCACAUGAACUGACAUCAUCCAGAAAGCCACCAUCAUCGAGAUAAAAGGACAAAAAGAAGAAGAAGAUAAAAACCGGACUUGAGACAAACUCUUCCGAUACAGAUGCACAAGGUAGCGUGCUUAACUUA
This is a long non-coding RNA of Rosa chinensis, 1822 nucleotides long. RefSeq lists it as uncharacterized. The record is from RefSeq and is a predicted model, not a curated record. Lineage: Eukaryota; Viridiplantae; Streptophyta; Magnoliopsida; Rosales; Rosaceae. The transcript has 6 exons.